This 329-nucleotide long non-coding RNA is filed under the name Vigna radiata. RNAcentral's name for it is "long non-coding RNA (VRAD_LNC012627)". Lineage: Eukaryota; Viridiplantae; Streptophyta; Magnoliopsida; Fabales; Fabaceae. The record is from RNAcentral.
UCACAUUCAAAUAAUCUAAUAGACUAUAUGAGCAAAACAAGCUAGCGUCUCAUGAAAACAAAAGUUUAUGUCUUGUAUAAACAUUAAGGCUAAAAGAAGUUUUUAUUCAAUACAGUGUUAUCUUAAGCAAAGGCUUUUUAUUAAAAAAAAAGAAAAAAAAAGAAAACAUCAUCCAAUGAAUGACCGCUAAAUGCUAUAGUCCUUGAAAAAACAUUUUAUGUUGAUACCAUAUGAUGAUUAUACAUGUUGUAUGUCUUACCAAACAAUGCAUUUAUGAAUGACAUUACAAAAGAUAAAAUGUCUUGUACAAUAAAAUAUUUCAAUUCUUG